This 30-nucleotide non-coding RNA is filed under the name Homo sapiens (human). Lineage: Eukaryota; Metazoa; Chordata; Mammalia; Primates; Hominidae. The record is from RNAcentral.
UUGAAAAGGUCUUCUCUGAGUUCCUGUGGC